This 469-nucleotide ribosomal RNA is filed under the name uncultured bacterium. RNAcentral describes it as "partial 16S ribosomal RNA". It matches the Rfam family "Bacterial small subunit ribosomal RNA", at positions 28 to 507 of the family's 1533-position model. The record is from RNAcentral.
GACGAACGCUGGCGGCGUGCUUAACACAUGCAAGUCGAACGGAAAGGCCCUGCUUGCAGGGUGCUCGAGUGGCGAACGGGUGAGUAACACGUGGGUGAUCUGCCCCUUACUUUGGGAUAAGCCUGGGAAACUGGGUCUAAUACUGGAUAGGACCAUGCUGUAGGUGGUGUGGUGGAAAGAUUAGUUUCGGUAAGGGAUGAGCUCGCGGCCUAUCAGCUUGUUGGUGGGGUAAUGGCCUACCAAGGCGUCGACGGGUAGCCGGCCUGAGAGGGUGGACGGCCACAUUGGGACUGAGAUGCGGCCCAGACUCCUACGGGAGGCAGCAGUGGGGGAUAUUGCACAAUGGGCGCAAGCCUGAUGCAGCGACGCCGCGUGGGGGAUGACGGCCUUCGGGUUGUAAACUCCUUUCAGCCAUGACGAAGCCCUUGUGGUGACGGUAGUGGUAGAAGAAGCACCGGCUAACUACGUG